This 406-nucleotide ribosomal RNA is filed under the name uncultured bacterium. Its description in RNAcentral is "partial 16S ribosomal RNA". It matches the Rfam family "Bacterial small subunit ribosomal RNA", at positions 30 to 526 of the family's 1533-position model. The record is from RNAcentral.
AUUGAACGCUGGCGGCAGGCCUAACACAUGCAAGUCGAACGAGUGGCGGACGGGUGAGUAAUGUCUGGGAAACUGCCUGAUGGAGGGGGAUAACUACUGGAAACGGUAGCUAAUACCGCAUACCAUCAGAUGUGCCCAGAUGGGCUUAGCUUGUUGGUGGGGUAACGGCUCACCAAGGCGACGGUCCCUAGCUGGUCUGAGCGGAUGACCUACAACACUGGAACUGAGACACGGUACAGGCUCCUACGGGAGGCAGCAGUGGUGAAGAUGGAACAAUGGGCGCAAGCCGGAUGCAGCCAUGCCGCGUGUAUCAAGAAGGCCUUCGGGUUGUAAAGUACUUUCAUCGGGGAUGCGUUACCAGCAGAAGAAGCACCGGCUAACUCCGUGCCAGCAGCCGCGGUAAUAC